Cyprinus carpio (common carp) is the source of this 454-nucleotide non-coding RNA. The record is from the annotation of a RefSeq genome assembly. NCBI's taxonomy places the organism in Eukaryota, Metazoa, Chordata, Actinopteri, Cypriniformes, Cyprinidae.
UAACAGACUCAUGCUUUCAGGACUGAAUCAUACUGCUUGGAUAUACUAUUCUCUCGAACAAUGAAACUAUGGUUGGAAUUGUUGGUUUUUGCAUUAGUUAUUGCUGAAUGUAGACCAGAGGAUACAGUUGUUCAGCCAGAUAAACAUGUAACUGCAACAACACCAGAACUCUUCUGGUACAUCCAGAGAGCAAAUGACAUUCCUAAAUACAUGCUGAGGAAAAACAAAUAUGGAGGAGAUCAGGGCACUGAGUUCCAGGAGAGAUUUCACUCUGAAGUAUCAUCAGAUUCAGUUCCUCUGUUAAUCAAGAAUCUGCGUGUGUCUGACUCUGCUGUGUACUACUGUGCUCUGCAGCCCACUGUGACUGAAACCAACUCAGCUCUUACACAAAAACUUUCAUCAGUGCUGAUCACUAUUGUGUGAUAGAAUUAUCCAUUUAUUUCUUCAUUUAUUG